UAGAGUUUGAUCAUGGCUCAGAUUGAACGCUGGCGGCAUGCCUUACACAUGCAAGUCGAACGGUAACAGGUCUUCGGAUGCUGACGAGUGGCGAACGGGUGAGUAAUACAUCGGAACGUGCCCGAGAGUGAGGGAUAACGAGGCGAAAGCUUUGCUAAUACCGCAUACGUCCUACGGGAGAAAGCAGGGGACCUUCGGGCCUUGCGCUAUCAGAUGAGCCUAGGUCGGAUUAGCUAGUUGGUGAGGUAAUGGCUCACCAAGGCGACGAUCCGUAACUGGUCUGAGAGGAUGAUCAGUCACACUGGAACUGAGACACGGUCCAGACUCCUACGGGAGGCAGCAGUGGGGAAUAUUGGACAAUGGGCGAAAGCCUGAUCCGGCCAUGCCGCGUGUGUGAAGAAGGUCUUCGGAUUGUAAAGCACUUUAAGUUGGGAGGAAGGGCAGUUACCUAAUACGUGAUUGUUUUGACGUUACCGACAGAAUAAGCACCGGCUAACUCUGUGCCAGCAGCCGCGGUAAU
RNAcentral lists this ribosomal RNA (520 nucleotides) under uncultured bacterium. RNAcentral's name for it is "bacterial SSU rRNA". It matches the Rfam family "Bacterial small subunit ribosomal RNA", at positions 1 to 524 of the family's 1533-position model. The record is from RNAcentral.